RNAcentral lists this long non-coding RNA (290 nucleotides) under Musa acuminata (dwarf banana). RNAcentral's name for it is "long non-coding RNA (MACU_LNC006689)". The record is from RNAcentral. Lineage: Eukaryota; Viridiplantae; Streptophyta; Magnoliopsida; Zingiberales; Musaceae.
UUCUUCUGCCACCUGAGUGGUAAUACAUGAACUCCCUGCCGAGAAAAGACGGUAGCUAACGAUCCAGAUAAUAAGAAUGCAGCAAAUUCCUGGACUGUCACCGUGGACCUCCUCAUCCAUUUGAGUGCGGUGAUCAGAAAUCUUGGGAAACAGAGUGAACUACUGGCACAAGAGGAUUCCACGAACAGCGUCAGCACCAUACGAUCAUUGAUGUUUGUGCACAAACUAUUUUCCAAGAUGCCGUUCUUCUUUGCAAAGUUCCCAGCAGAGACUGCAAUUUUAAGCUCCCU